UUCACCCUCCAGGGUCACUUCUAACAAUGACGAAUGUGCAAAUGCAAGCUCCACCACAAUUCUGACAGGCUAACUGCAUACAGUUGCACACUAGCUUGGGGCCUGACUACAGUGAAAGGGGAGUACGGAGAGGUGUUUCCUAAAUGCCUCUUUUGGUGGAAAAGCUGGGGCUCACUACCUUCACAGUUACUCCACAGCACCAUUAUCUAGAAAUCUGGAUAACAGUUAACCUGGAUAACAAGACUAAAGAAGAAUCUAAUGUCUGAUUACAGACUUGUGGAGCACCUAACUUCCAUAGAGGACUUAGCGGAGGGGAGACUUUGCAGAGCAACAGGGUCUCGCCAUGUAGUUCAGCCUGGCCUUAUGCUCACUUUGUAGCUCAAGCUGGUCUCGAACUUGAAACAAUCCUCCUGCCUCAGCCUCCUGAAUGCUAGGAUUACAGGAGUACACCACCUCUUCUGGACUUUUGGGGGGGGGUAAUUAUUUAUUUGUAUGAUAUUCCAUGAACCACUUUUUUUUUUUGUCUU
This is a long non-coding RNA of Cavia porcellus (domestic guinea pig), 527 nucleotides long. RefSeq lists it as uncharacterized. NCBI's taxonomy places the organism in Eukaryota, Metazoa, Chordata, Mammalia, Rodentia, Caviidae. The transcript has 2 exons. The record is from RefSeq and is a predicted model, not a curated record.